GACGGAGGAUGCAAGUGUUGUCCGGAUUCAUUGGGUUUAAAGGGUGCGUAGGCGGCCUUGUAAGUCAGCGGUGAAAUACCCUCGCUCAACGAGGGAACUGCCGUUGAUACUGCGAGGCUUGAGUUCGUGCGAGGUUGCUGGAAUGCGUGGUGUAGCGGUGAAAUGCAUAGAUAUCACGCAGAACACCGAUUGCGAAGGCAGGUGACUGGCACGCGACUGACGCUGAGGCACGAAAGCGUGGGGAGCAAACAGG
This 253-nucleotide ribosomal RNA is filed under the name uncultured bacterium. RNAcentral's name for it is "partial 16S ribosomal RNA". It matches the Rfam family "Bacterial small subunit ribosomal RNA", at positions 524 to 776 of the family's 1533-position model. The record is from RNAcentral.